Molecule: ribosomal RNA, 465 nt
Filed under: Vreelandella stevensii
Lineage: Bacteria; Pseudomonadati; Pseudomonadota; Gammaproteobacteria; Oceanospirillales; Halomonadaceae
Description: partial 16S ribosomal RNA
Rfam family: Bacterial small subunit ribosomal RNA
Source: RNAcentral
CCUACGGGUGGCAGCAGUGGGGAAUAUUGGACAAUGGGCGAAAGCCUGAUCCAGCCAUGCCGCGUGUGUGAAGAAGGCCUUCGGGUUGUAAAGCACUUUCAGUGGGGAAGAAAGCCUUGGGGCUAAUACCCUCGAGGAAGGACAUCACCCACAGAAGAAGCACCGGCUAACUCCGUGCCAGCAGCCGCGGUAAUACGGAGGGUGCGAGCGUUAAUCGGAAUUACUGGGCGUAAAGCGCGCGUAGGCGGUCUGAUAAGCCGGUUGUGAAAGCCCCGGGCUCAACCUGGGAACGGCAUCCGGAACUGUCAGGCUAGAGUGCAGGAGAGGAAGGUAGAAUUCCCGGUGUAGCGGUGAAAUGCGUAGAGAUCGGGAGGAAUACCAGUGGCGAAGGCGGCCUUCUGGACUGACACUGACGCUGACGUGCGAAAGCGUGGGUAGCAAACAGGAUUAGAUACCCCAGUAGUC